UACGUAGGGGGCGAGCGUUGUCCGGAUUUACUGGGCGUAAAGGGCGCGUAGGCGGCCUUGUCAGUCAGGCGUGAAAGCCCCGGGCUUAACCUGGGAAUGGCAUUUGGGACUGCAAGGCUUGAGUGCGGCAGAGGAGACUGGAAUUCCUGGUGUAGCGGUGGAAUGCGCAGAUAUCAGGAGGAACACCGGUGGCGAAGGCGGCUAUCUGGACCGACAUUGACGCUGAGGCGCGAAAGCGUGGGGAGCAAACAGG
Molecule: ribosomal RNA, 253 nt
Filed under: uncultured bacterium
Lineage: Bacteria
Description: partial 16S ribosomal RNA
Rfam family: Bacterial small subunit ribosomal RNA
Source: RNAcentral